UAACUCGGCAAAUUGCCCCCGUAACUUCGGGAGAAGGGGGACCUCUGUUGGUGAUGGGCUUUACGCCUGGAGCUGGUGGGGGUCGCAGUGGCCAGGGGGAAGCGACUGUUUACUAAAAACACAGGUCCGUGCGAAGUCGUAAGACGAUGUAUACGGACUGACGCCUGCCCGGUGCCGGAACGUUAAGGGGACCGCUUAGCCGACGUGAGUUGGCGAAGGUGAGAACUUAAGCGCCGGUAAACGGCGGUGGUAACUAUAACCAUCCUAAGGUAGCGAAAUUCCUUGUCGGGUGAGUUCCGACCUGCACGAAUGGCGUAACGACUUCCCCGCUGUCUCAACCGCAGACCCGGCGAAAUUGCACUACGAGUAAAGAUGCUCGUUUCGCGCAGCAGGACGGAAAGACCCCGGGACCUUCACUACAGCUUGACAUUGGCGUUUGGAACGUCUUGUGUAGGAUAGGUGGGAGACUAGGAAGCUGUCACGCUAGUGAUGGUGGAGUCAUUGGUGAAAUACCACUCUGGUCGUUUUGAACGUCUAACUCUGGUCCGUGAUCCGGAUCGGGAACAGUGUCUGGUGGGUAGUUUAACUGGGGCGGUUGCCUCCUAAAGAGUAACGGAGGCGCCCAAAGGUUCCCUCAGCCUGGUUGGCAAUCAGGUGUUGAGUGUAAGUGCACAAGGGAGCUUGACUGUGAGACUGACAGGUCGAGCAGGAGCGAAAGCUGGGACUAGUGAUCCGGCAUCGGCGUGUGGAAGCGGUGUCGCUCAACGGCUAAAAGGUACCCCGGGGAUAACAGGCUGAUCUUCCCCAAGAGUCCAUAUCGACGGGAUGGUUUGGCACCUCGAUGUCGGCUCGUCGCAUCCUGGGGCUGGAGUAAGUCCCAAGGGUUGGGCUGUUCGCCCAUUAAAGCGGUACGCGAGCUGGGUUUAGAACGUCGCGAGACAGUUCGGUCCCUAUCCGCUGCGCGCGCAGGAGACUUGAAGGGGGCUGUCCCUAGUACGAGAGGACCGGGACGGACGAACCUCUGGUGUGCCAGUUGUACCGCCAGGUGCACGGCUGGUUGGCUACGUUCGGAAGGGAUAACCGCUGAAAGCAUCUAAGCGGGAAGCUCGCCUUGAGAUGAGGUCUCCCACCACGAGAGUGGGUAAGGCUCCCGGUAGACGACCGGGUUGAUAGGCCGGAGGUGGAAGCACGGUAACGUGUGGAGCUGACCGGUACUAAUAGGCCGAGGACUUGACCG
Molecule: ribosomal RNA, 1237 nt
Filed under: metagenome
Description: bacterial LSU rRNA
Rfam family: Bacterial large subunit ribosomal RNA
Source: RNAcentral